This is a small nucleolar RNA of Ziziphus jujuba (common jujube), 83 nucleotides long. RefSeq annotates it as small nucleolar RNA snoR128. Lineage: Eukaryota; Viridiplantae; Streptophyta; Magnoliopsida; Rosales; Rhamnaceae. The record is from RefSeq and is a predicted model, not a curated record. The transcript has a single exon.
UUGCUGUGAUGAGCGCUAGAAUCUCAUGAAAGCUCUAGUUUAGUUGCUUAAUGAUAGAUUCGCCUGAGCGGUUACCUGAGCAA